CAUGCAAGUCACGGGGGCCAGCAAUGGCAACCGGCGAACGGGUGCGUAACACGUGAGCAACCUACCGAAAUGAGGGGGAUAGCCGUCCCAACGGACGGGUAAUACCGCAUACGCUCGAGACCAGGCAUUUGGACUCGAGGAAACCUCCGGGGCAUUUCGAGGGGCUCGCGGCCUAUCAGCUAGUUGGUGAGGUAACGGCUCACCAAGGCGACGACGGGUAGCUGGUCUGAGAGGAUGGCCAGCCACAUUGGGACUGAGAUACGGCCCAGACUCCUACGGGAGGCAGCAGUGGGGAAUCUUGCGCAAUGGCCUAACGGCUGACGCAGCGACGCCGCGUGAGGGAUGACGUUCUUCGGAGUGUAAACCUCUUUUGCCUGAGACGAAUUGUCAGCUUUAGCUGAUUUGACUGUAUCGGGUGAAUAAGCACCGGCUAACUCCGUGCCAGCAGCCGCGGUAAUACGGGGGGUGCGAGCGUUGUCCGGAAUCACUGGGCGUAAAGGGCGCGUAGGUGGCCUGAUAAGGGUGUGGUGAAAGUCCGGGGCUCAACCCCGGAUCGGCCGUGCCGACUGUUAGGCUAGAGUACUGUAGGGGCAGGCGGAAUUCCGGGUGUAGCGGUGGAAUGCGUAGAGAUCCGGAGGAAGACCGGUGGCGAAGGCGGCCUGCUGGGCAGUUACUGACACUGAGGCGCGACAGCGUGGGGAGCAAACAGGAUUAGAUACCCUGGUAGUCCACGCCGUAAACGAUGGGUACUAGGUGCCUGGGGGAGCGACCCCUUGGGUGCCGGCGCUAACGCAGGAAGUACCCCGCCUGGGGAGUACGGCCGCAAGGCUGAAACUCAAAGGAAUUGACGGGGGCCCGCACAAGCGGUGGAGCAUGUGGUUUAAUUCGACGCAACGCGAAGAACCUUACCUAGGCUUGACAUGCAUGGGAAACUCCUCAGAAACGAGGAGCCUCCUUCGGGAUCCAUGCACAGGUGCUGCAUGGCUGUCGUCAGCUCG
RNAcentral lists this ribosomal RNA (998 nucleotides) under uncultured bacterium. RNAcentral describes it as "bacterial SSU rRNA". It matches the Rfam family "Bacterial small subunit ribosomal RNA", at positions 54 to 1062 of the family's 1533-position model. The record is from RNAcentral.